This 30-nucleotide non-coding RNA is filed under the name Homo sapiens (human). The record is from RNAcentral. Lineage: Eukaryota; Metazoa; Chordata; Mammalia; Primates; Hominidae.
UGGGUCAGAAGAGGUCUUGCAGCUCCUCAU